UGGCGGACGGGUGAGUAACGCGUCGGGCAACCUGCCUUACACACGGGGGAUAACACUUAGAAAUAGGUGCUUAAAAACCGCAUAAGCGCACAGCUUCGCAUGAAGCGGUGUGUAAAAACUCCGGUGGUGUAAGAUGGAACCCGCGUCUGAUUAGCUUGUUGGCGGGGUAACGCCCACCAAGGCGACGAUCAGUAGCCGGCCUGAGAGGGCGGACGGCCACAUUGGGACUGAGACACGGCCCAGACUCCUACGGAAGGCAGCAG
RNAcentral lists this ribosomal RNA (263 nucleotides) under uncultured bacterium. RNAcentral's name for it is "partial 16S ribosomal RNA". It matches the Rfam family "Bacterial small subunit ribosomal RNA", at positions 96 to 354 of the family's 1533-position model. The record is from RNAcentral.